RNA transcript from Abrus precatorius (Indian licorice), 1706 nucleotides. It is a transcript of the gene named protein NCA1, with no coding region annotated. NCBI's taxonomy places the organism in Eukaryota, Viridiplantae, Streptophyta, Magnoliopsida, Fabales, Fabaceae. The record is from RefSeq and is a predicted model, not a curated record. The transcript has 9 exons.
UGGUGCAGUGUUGAGAAAGAAUAGAAGAACCCAAUCUCGUGUCCUGGAUUCGUGGUUGUCACUCGUCAGAUCGUGGACAAAAAAAUUUAAUUGACAAUUCCCAAUCCCGAAUAGAAAUUCCCAAAGCACCGAACCCUAACUUUCUCCUCCUGAUUGCAUCCCUCAUCGUCACUGAGCAGUGUUUCAAGGUUCUGGUUCUUGAUGAAUAUGACACCAGUUUGUCCCUUUGUCAAAGCUGCUCGACCUGAUGAUAAUAAUGCCUCUAAAAAAUCGGGUGAAAAUUCUAUGAAACAUCAGGUAGAGUCUGAGAGUAAGGCGAAGAAAGAGGUUAAUGACACAGCUGGUGCUUCUCCAAAGUGCCCAUUUGGAUAUGACUCGCAAACAUUUAAGAUUGGUCCUCUUAGCUGUAUGGUAUGCCAGGCACUUCUAUUUGAUACCAGCAAAUGUGUGCCUUGUUCCCAUGUUUUCUGCAAAGCAUGCAUAUCACGCUUUAAGGACUGUCCAUUAUGUGGGGCUGAUAUUGAGAAGAUUGAGCCUGAUGCUAAUCUUCAGGGUGUAGUUGAUCGCUUUAUUGAAGGUCAUGCUAGGAUCAAAAGGUCUGUUAGUUCAGACACAGAUGGAGAAGCAGCAGAGAGUAAACCAAUCAUAUAUGAGGAUGUGUCUCUGGAAAGAGGUUCUUUCUUGGUACAACAGGCCAUGAGGGCAUUUCGUGCUCAGAAUUUGGAAAGUGCCAAAUCAAGACUCAGCCUCUGUGCAGAAGACGUUCGUGAUCAGUUAGAAAAAGUGGGCAACACAUCAGAGUUAUGUUCACAGCUUGGAGCAGUCUUGGGUAUGCUUGGUGACUGCUGCCGAGCAAUGGGUGAUGCCAGUUCUGCGGUUGCAUAUUUUGAAGAAAGUGUUCAAUUUCUGUCAAAAUUGCCCAAAGAUGAUAUGGAGAUUACACACACACUUUCUGUUUCACUUAACAAAAUUGGAGAUCUUAAAUAUUACGAUGGGGACCUUCAAGCUGCAAGAUCUUACUAUUUUAAAUCUUUGAAUGUUCGUCGUGAUGUUGUCAAGGACAAUUCAAAUGUUCCUUCCCAGGUCCUAGAUGUUGCUGUUUCUCUUGCAAAAGUUGCAGAUGUGGACAGAAAUCUAGGGGAUGAAAAGGUGGCUACUGAUGGAUUUCAAGAAGCCAUAGACUUACUGGAAUCACUAACGUUGAAAUCUGAAGCCAGUGCGCUUGAGCAACGGCGGCAAUCAGUCCUAGACUUCCUUAGAAGCCAACUGCUAGAUAAACAAGAACAAGUUGUGCCAACAGUCUGAGAUAGGUACUCCACAUGAAGAAAGGAAACAUGAAUUCAGAUGCAAUAAACAUUUCUGUAUGCCACGGGACAAGUUUGUAAAAUAAGCUCAGCUUAACAGAGGCACUACUAAUAGAGGAAGAGGAGCUUUCAUAGUAACGGUUUCAUCCGUGCAUCAAUGAUCUUAUAGUAUCAGGCUUGAAUUUGCUAAUGUGGCCCGUGAACUAUGCAAGUGUACGUACGUACGUAUAAGGGUAACGUGAACACCUACUUAUGGCAUGUUCUGUAGAUUUGGUCCCUUUAAAAGUACUGGUAUAUAACAAUUUGCCCUAAAUUUGGCAAUUUCUUUUAUCUAUUACUGUUAAUCAAGUCUAAUAGAAUUGUACAAUUAUUAUUCUUAUGUAAUUUUAACAUCAGUUUUUU